AAACCUGGGUCUACUCAGGUAUAGAGCGACAUGACAGCGGUACUGAAGAAAUGUCUAUCUUGGUUUGCAACACCGCAUACUUUCUAUCGUAAUUUAUUUUCUAAAUGGAAAGUUCUCAACGUUAUCUCCAUAAAACUUCAAUGAUUUUCUUUCCUGUACAGCAUCAUAUGUUUCUAAUAUUUUUCAGGUGUCAUUGCCAUAAACAAACCAUACGGACUGAGGAAUGGGAUGAGAUUUGAAGAUCCUCUUGAUGCCAAGUUUAAGAAUGUCAAUCAUUUCAACUUUAGCCUUACAGAAGUCUUACCUUUACUUGCUAGCAUGCUAAAUGUCCCAGACUUGACUGUAGCUAGAAGCCCUGAAAAGUUUGCCAGUGGUGUGACCCUUCUGAAUGUUAAUAAUGAAGCUGGAAUCAAAAUUAGUAAAGCAGUGAAGCAUCCAACUUCCCCUGCUGUUUACAGCUAUCAAGCUGUGUGUCAUGGUGUUCCUCUACUUUCCUCAAACAAUGGUGAACGGUUAGGUCUCUCUACCAAUGAAAAUGACGGAUCUGUAAGUUGUUUAUUCUGUAUUGGUUGGGCACAGGGUGCUGCAUAAAAGAUUAGUCAUUUCAGCAAAAUCUUUCACAAAAUUUUUAGAUGCUGUGAAAUUUUGUCAUCCUUUGGUUCAGCAGGUCAAUGGGCCAGUGCGCUGGUCACAAAAUCGUGUUUUGAUGCUAGUUUCUUGUAGAUUAGCUAAAUACAAUAAGAUCUGCCCAAACCGUAACUUUCUACGUUCAAUAUCAACCGAGAUAUCGCCCUUUGAAGAGUCAGGUUUUUGACAUCAUCCACUGCAGCAGUGACACCCUUGAUUUCAUCCUCUUUUGUUUAAUCAUGGAUGCAGGAGACGUAAUGCGAAACCUCAAUGAACUAAACAUAAACAAACUUAAGAAACAGACGGAUUCAAGAUUCAAGGAUCUUCUUAUCCAGAGGUAACGCACUCGCCAUGAAGAGAUCAGGCGGUCAGUCAGUUCACCCCAGUUUGUUUAUGUUUAAUAUUGUUGAAGUUUCGCGUCGCGUCUCCUGCAUCACUGUUCAAACAAAAGAGGAAGAAACCAAGGGUGUCACUGCCGCGGUGGAUGACAUCAAAAACCUGACUUUUCAAAGUGCGAUAUCUCUAUUAAUAUUUCACGUAGAAAGAUGCGGUUUGAACAGAUCUUAUUAUUCUUAGCUAAUCUACAAAAAUUAAGCAUCAAAACAUGAUUCUGUAACCAGCGCAACUGACCUAUUGACCUAUUAGUUUUCAAAAGGGCCUAAGCGCCAUGCAAAAUCCAAAUUUCAAACAAAACAGGAAAAAGUGUGCCAUCCGGUGUGGGUUCAUUCUUUGAGGCCAAGUUUGGGCAGGUAUUCUUCAGACACAUGCAUUUUUUGGCCGCACAAGAUUGAGCAUAUCGAUGGCGUAAGUCAGCAAUCAUAUAUCUCGUUUUCGGUGUCUGAAAAUCUCCGCUUCUAUGUUAUUUUUAUAAAGAAGAACAAAUUGACAUCAUUCCUUGUAGUUCAUGCAGAAUUUUCUUUGCACAGAGGAAGGGGGAAGGCAGAUUACCGCUCCUGAAGGAGAGGAAUAGGAAAAGGAACUUAAAAAGUUAAAUCUGUUGGUGUGACUGUGUUUUAUACCAUAACAUUUCUUUUAUUUUUUCAGCUUAACAUUUGUGAAAUCUUUUCUGUCACUCUAAUUAUGUUAAUCAUCAUUACAGGUAAACUUUCAACAAAUCAAACUAAAAAAAAAUAAUAAAGAAAAAAAUGAAACAGAUUUAUUAUAAACACAAAGUUCUAAAUACAAAUCCAGACCUGAACUCAAGCCUUGUAGAAGUAUCAACAAAUCGGAUCUUAUGGUACUAUGUUCCAUUAUAUUUAGCUACAAGGCUGCUUACUCCUGUCAUAGGCGAUCAGAUUCAUGGGAAUUCAGUGCAGUAUUUAUUCGGGAAACCAGUUCUCCUACCUAUGUUUAAUGUCACUGGGUUCAACCCUCAGGUAAAAAAUUCAAUAUUUUCUAUAUUUUAAUCACAAAUUAAGUUGUAAAUGAGUUGGUAAUGUAAAAACGGCAUACUCUCAAACUUUCAUUUUUAAUGUUUGGCUGAUUUCUGUCAUUCAAAGAUAAAUUGAAAACAUUUCCACUACCAAGCAAAAUAAGAACUCUUAAAUAAUUUAAGUAGAAUGUUCUGCAGAAAAUUUCUCGAAUUCUGAUAGAGGCAAAACUCAAGAUAAGAUAUAAAAUUUUCGCAGCACUUUUGAGCUUUCUAAUAUUUUCUCAGGAGAACAAUUCUAACAGAUUAUUUACCUAUCAUCUCAAAUGUUCUAGAAAAGCAUGCAACUUUAAGUGUGAUAUUCUUGCAAUUAUCUUCUCCAAAGAACUUACUCAGAGAGGUCUGAGUUAUCAGUGUUAGAACUGUUAGAAUCACCUCUGUCUAGUUCAGGGUACCACUGGGCAAUUGGGUAUAAAGAAAUUAAAAGGGGAUGUUUUCAUGUGAAGAAUCUUUGAAAGAGUUCAAUAACGUUAGUGAGUGAGGACUAUUUGUUCAUCGGCUUCCUUGAAAAUAGUAUAGUUUAUCAAAGAAAGUCAUAUUUCAUAUACUGUUUUAAAUUAUAUUUUACACUGAAUCUUGCCUCAACAACAGACAUUACAAUUUUUUCCCCAGACUUUGACUCUUAAAUUUUGUAGAAAUAUUGAUACCAUAUUGCACCCACCUCCAUCUCGGUGUAGAAAAUCAGAAAUCGCCAACUCCUCCUUUUUUUCUCUAUGACCAGUGGAUAUCACCCACACAUCGUUACUUAUAUGAUAAUAUUGCAGUCCAAUAUUUUAAUUUCGGAGUGUGUCAAGGUGGUUUUUCUGAAGAGAUUGACCAUGAAGAAAAGUCAGUGUUACAUAAAGUCAAAACAUGUUAUCUUAAAAUAAUCAUCUUCUGCCUCCAAACUUUCAAUUCCUCUUUUGUCAUCAAUUUUUUGAUACUUCAGGUCGUGGUGGUACUCUGCUCAAAAUUAAUAUUUUUAAUAGUGGCAACUAUUACUCAGAUCAUUUUUCAGGAAGACAAAGAUGAUUUUUCAUCGUCAAGGAAACUGGCGAUCUCUAAUUCUUCGCCCCAAAACAAUGUUACUCUAACUUAAAAUUAUUUAAUAAUUCUGUAUUUACAUAUUGAUAUUUAAAGGCAGUUUUACUAUCUCAUUACUUUGAUCAAGAACUAUCAUGUCCAAAGUAGUGUUACACUUAUAAUUCUAUUUCCCAUUUUUUAUUUCAGAAAUUGCCUGAAGACAUUUGCAAGAGGUUGGAAAUUGAUGUAACUGAUAGCCUGCUAAUUCCGAAUCACCUUCAUUUGUCGUCUGUAACGUUAUAUCAUCUUUCUAGAAAGGAAGCAAAACAUCUUACAAUACAUGCACCUCCUCCACCUCACUUUCAAUGGACCUGCUCUCAGCUUAGGUUGUGGAAUGAACCAGAAAAUCUUUUACCGGUUGAGGUAGCUUUUUAAGCCCCUCCUUCUCUCCCUGGAUCUGGAGACAUAUGUAUUGGAUUUCAGAAACUGUUUGGAAUUCACCCACUCAAGAGGCAGUAGUAUAGACAAAUGUUUCCCUCAUUACUCCCUGGGAAUCAUAGGGAUUGCUUUUCCAACUUUCUCCCAUUUUCAAGGAAUUUCACAAAGAGGUAAAUGGUACAUACUGAAUGAUCACUGACCUAUUUUUCAAUGUUGUUGAACUUCGCGAAUAGAUGAAUGUUUGGGCUGACCGGAAGUUGGAAGUAUGUGUGCUGAGCGGAACCACUACAAAUGAUCAAAUCAAGAACUAUGAGGCAAGCAAGUACUAGACACAUAGCUCUUAUAGGUUGAAUUCAUUACACAUAGUUUCUUUUAGGGUACUAAUACCAAUCGACCAAUCUUUCAGCGUGCUUGAACUUUGUAAUGAAGUAGAAAGUACAAACUGACCUAUUAGUUCUCCAAAGGUGUCCAAUUUUGCAUUUUUAAGAGCCAGCAAGGAGGCAGUUAAAUUUAGACGAUUGUGUCCAUAGUAGCCUUCAUAUUUUCAAGGAGCUCGUCUGUCAACUCUAAAAUUUAAAGCAAAUUAGAUUUUACACUAAUAAAACAAACUCUAAGUUCUUUUAAAUUUAAACUGUUUUAGUAGCUGGCAAGCCUCUCAAAAGCAAUAAGUUUUCAAAGUUUGUAAAUUCAAUAGAACUGUCGCGGAAUCCAGGAAUUACCUUGAAAAAACGUUUCUGAAGUGUAAAUUUUAAGGAGAAACGUGUUUAUUAGCUUAAGGUCUUGUCCACAAGAGCACAGUUUGGACGAAUUAGUUCCAAGAACUGGGAGCUCAAGAAACGAGUUUUGGCUGAAUUAUAAUACGUUCCUGGAACAAAUUCGCCCAAAGUUACGUUAAUUUGCUGGUGUGGACAAGGCCUUCAAGAGCUCAAAUACCUUGUUUUGAUUGUAAAGUGGAGAUUUAAAGUUUCAGUUGUAAAAGAAAGGUUUCUAUUUGCCUAGCUUGCAACGUCAUAUGAGGAAACCACUCUUGGUUUCAACCACUUUAAAUUCAAUGCAAUACGGCCACCGUACAAUCCACAUCAUGUACAAGCGAUUUCAUGAAAAACGACAACAAAAUUUGUUUAAAUUUUUAGUAUUUCAUUUGAAUUAAAAUCUCGUUCAUUUCAUUUUGUUUUAUUGGAAGAUGUUUGUUCGUUGGAAUUUAGUUUUGAAAAUAAAAAAACUAUCGAGGAAAAAACUGAUAAGAGGUUUUCUGUUUUUUACAUCCUACAUAGAUUAGAUAUUUUAUUCUUCACGCUUGUGGUACUGAAAUGUAAGACCAAUGCACUAAUUGAACUUCGUUCAGUGCACAUUAGUUAAACAGCCUCGAGUCUUCAGUAUUUUAGCAGAAAAGUAGCAGUGAAUAUUUUUUGGAGCAGAGAAAUCCUGACUAUAAAACUUCUACAUGAUUAAUCAUGGUUUG
This 4958-nucleotide long non-coding RNA is filed under the name Bemisia tabaci. RNAcentral's name for it is "lncRNA ENSSSA3NGG005869". The record is from RNAcentral. Lineage: Eukaryota; Metazoa; Arthropoda; Insecta; Hemiptera; Aleyrodidae.